Molecule: ribosomal RNA, 467 nt
Filed under: uncultured bacterium
Lineage: Bacteria
Description: bacterial SSU rRNA
Rfam family: Bacterial small subunit ribosomal RNA
Source: RNAcentral
UAGGGAAUAUUGGACAAUGGGUGAGAGCCUGAUCCAGCCAUGCCGCGUGCAGGAAGAAGGCGUUAUGCGUUGUAAACUGCUUUUUGCCAGGGGAUAAAAAGACCGUGCGCGGUUAAUUGAAGGUACCUGGUGAAUAAGCCACGGCUAACUACGUGCCAGCAGCCGCGGUAAUACGUAGGUGGCAAGCGUUGUCCGGAUUUAUUGGGUUUAAAGGGUGCGUAGGUGGCCCUGUAAGUCAGUGGUGAAAUAUCUCAGCUUAACUGAGAGGGUGCCAUUGAUACUGCAGGGCUUGAGUACAGAUGAGGUAGGCGGAAUUGACGGUGUAGCGGUGAAAUGCAUAGAUAUCGUCAAGAACACCGAUAGCGAAGGCAGCUUACCAAGCUGUAACUGACACUGAGGCACGAAAGUGUGGGGAUCAAACAGGAUUAGAUACCCGGGUAGUCCCUGAGCGGGCUGGCAAGGCGCAU